GACGAACGCUGGCGGCGUGCCUAAUACAUGCAAGUCGAGCGAUGAAGGAGAUACUUGUAUCUUUUGAAGAGCGGCGAACGGGUGAGUAACGCGUGGGGAAUCUGCCAAUGAGUGGGGGACAACAUUUGGAAACGAAUGCUAAUACCGCAUAAAAUCUAUUGAGACAUCUCAAGAGAUUGAAAGGAACAAUUGUUUCGCUCGUUGAUGAUCCCGCGUUGUAUUAGCUAGUUGGUGAGGUAACGGCUCACCAAGGCGAUGAUACAUAGCCGACCUGAGAGGGUGAUCGGCCACAUUGGGACUGAGACACGGCCCAAACUCCUACGGGAGGCAGCAGUAGGGAAUCUUCGGCAAUGGACGAAAGUCUGACCGAGCAACGCCGCGUGAGUGAAGAAGGUUUUCGGAUCGUAAAGCUCUGUUGUUGUUAAAGAACGUUGAUGAGAGUGGAAAGUUCAUCAAGUGACGGUAAACAACCAGAAAGGGACGGCUAACUACGUGCCAGCAGCCGCGGUAAUACGUAGGUCCCGAGCGUUGUCCGGAUUUAUUGGGCGUAAAGCGAGCGCAGGUGGUUUCUUAAGUCUGGUGUCAAAGGCUACUGCUCAACAGUAGUGU
This 609-nucleotide ribosomal RNA is filed under the name uncultured bacterium. RNAcentral describes it as "bacterial SSU rRNA". It matches the Rfam family "Bacterial small subunit ribosomal RNA", at positions 28 to 621 of the family's 1533-position model. The record is from RNAcentral.